RNAcentral lists this long non-coding RNA (5711 nucleotides) under Prunus persica (peach). Its description in RNAcentral is "long non-coding RNA (PPER_LNC003959)". The record is from RNAcentral. Lineage: Eukaryota; Viridiplantae; Streptophyta; Magnoliopsida; Rosales; Rosaceae.
CGAACCAACCCGGUUCAACCAGGUCUUGGCGACGGGCAUGAACGACGUGGUCACCGAGGCUGCCAACGACGCCGACAAGUUUGCGACGAGUCAGGGGAAUGUUAGUGGGUUGGUUUCGAUUUACAGCCUGGGGCAGUGCACGCAGGACCUGUCCUCAGCGGAUUGCAACCGGUGUCUCACGGGUGCCAAAGCCCAAUUUCCGAAUUGUUGCAAUGGAAAGCUCGGGGCACGAGUUUUGUAUCCGAGUUGUACCGUUAGGUACGAAGUCUACCCCUUCUACCUCCAAAACUCCACGUCAGCGCCUCAGCCUUCACCGGGGGCUCUGCCUCCUCCUCCUCCUCCGCCGCCGCCUAAAGGUAAAGUGAAGUGACCAGCUUUUCAAUUCAAAUUAUGUCUUUAAAUUGUUGGGGGGAGUAGGUAUCUAUGCUAACUAUGGUGGACUUUGGAUUGGAACAGGGGAAUAUGGUUUUGGGAUUUGGCUGUUCAUUUUACUACUUUCUUCAUAUUUAGUUUUAUCAGUGUAGAUUUUUAUUGUUUAUUAUGCAGGAAAAAGCAAAAUCCCUACAAUUGUUGCCAUUGUUGUCCCAAUUGCCGUCUCUGUUCUACUUUUUGUUGUGGGCUGCUGUUUCAUUACUAGGAGAGCAAGAAAGAAGCGCAGUGCAGCAGCAGAGGCACCAAGCGGUAAAGAAUAUAUAUCUGAAAUGAAUUCUAGUUUGUCAUACAAAUCAAAAGCAUACUUUUGUUUCCUCAUCUUUAUACAUGAAUGCUUUUCUUGUUUGUUUGUGUAGGUGUGAAUGACAUUAGUAGUGUAGAGUCUUUGCAAUUUGAUUUUAGUACCAUUGUAGCGGCCACGAACAAUUUCUCUGAUGAUAAUAAGUUAGGGGAAGGUGGAUUUGGUCAAGUUUACAAGGUAUGUAUGUAUAUCAACGUUUCUGCAUUGGAAAAUCUCAAUUCUUAAUAUUUUGAGAAACUAAGGAGGUUUUAAUCAAUACUGGGAAUUGUAAAAGUUGUGCAAGAAUGUACAUUCCAUCGAUUCAUUGGUUGAAGGUUGUUCUCAGGGUAUACUUUCAAAUGGUCAACAAGUAGCUGUGAAGAGGCUUUCAAGGAACUCUGGCCAAGGUGCUGAGGAAUUUAAGAACGAGAUGGUAUUGGUAGCCAAGCUUCAACACAGAAAUCUGGUCAGGCUAUAUGGAUUUUGCUUGGAAGGAGAAGAAAAGAUACUUGUUUAUGAAUAUGUCUCCAACAAAAGCCUUGACUAUUUUCUAUUUGGUUUGUGCCCUGAAACAUCUGAUAGUCUUUUCUACUGCAAAAACAUUUCUACUGCAAAAACAAUGUUACUUCAACAUGUAUUUGAAUCUGUUUCCUUGAUUGCUCAAUUUUGAUGAUUUUCAGACCCUGAGAAACAAGGACAAUUGGAUUGGUCAAGACGUUACAAGAUUAUUGCAGGGAUUGCUCGAGGAAUAAUGUACCUACACGAAGAUUCCCGACUUAGAAUUAUACAUCGUGAUCUCAAGGCCAGCAAUAUAUUGUUAGAUGGGGAGAUGCAUCCAAAAAUAUCUGAUUUUGGCAUGGCCAGGAUUUUUGGGGUUGAUCAAACUCAAGCAAAUACAAGUAGAAUUGUUGGAACAUAGUAAGUUCUCUAAUUCAUCUUUUCUUUUCUCAUGAGCACUUUUGUUCUGCAUUAUCUGGAUUGAUGAAUUUGAGAAAUGGUCCCAUCUGCACUCAACAGAAAGUCCACUUUGACCCUUGAUAAUAUCUGUAUGAACUCAGACAGGGAUGAUGUAAUUUUUGAAUCAUACUUCAUGCUCUAUAAAUAAUGAAAGCCACUUAGUCUUACACGAAAUUGAAUGGGUUAAAUUAUUGACCUGAAUAUGAUAAGUUUACUCCUUAAAUUUUGCUACAAUUUCUAUACCGAUGGAUGGUUGUGCUUCUUGCAGUGGCUAUAUGUCUCCAGAGUAUGCAAUGCAUGGACAAUUUUCUGUCAAGUCCGAUCUAUAUAGUUUCGGUGUUUUACUGCUAGAAAUCAUAAGUGGCAAGAAGAAUAGUUAUUUCUUUCAAACUGAUGCAGCUGAAGACCUCAUGAGCCAUGUAAGCUUAAACUGAAAACAAUGUAGUUUUGUUCUUCUGCACUAACACCACCACAACAUAAAUAAAACUGUUCAAUUUAUGCAGGCUUGGAAACUAUGGAGAGAUGGGACGCCUUUGGAAUUGUUGGAUCCGAGUAUGAGAGAUUCUUAUUCUAGGAGUGAAGUUAUAAGGUGUAUCCAUAUCGGCUUACUUUGUGUUCAGGAAGAUCCAGCGGACAGACCUACAAUGCAAUCCGUAGUUCUCAUGCUUAAUAGCUACUCUGUGACUCUGCCAUUACCUGAACAGCCAGCAUUUUUCCUUCGAAGUCGAACGGAGGGGAACAUGCCAAAGAUAACUUUGGAGUCUGAUCUAUCUAUCAGUAAGUCAACUCCAUCCGUUGAUGAAGCAUCUAUCACUGCAGUAUACCCUCGAUAGCGUGAAUGAACAAGAUGUUAUAUCUGUAUUAUCUGUUUAUAUUUGUAAUCACAAAUGUGAAACUUGUACUCUUGGUUCCAUACGACUGUUGUUAGGAUUGAAAACAUCAAAUGGUAUUUCUGUCUUGUGAGUUUCAAUAUCAUUGAUUUCGAUUUGUGAGCAUAGAUUUAUCAUCCACAUAACGUGAUUGACAAGGUUUUAAGUAUUCACAUCUGUAUCUUGGAAAAGAUCUCUUCUUUGUGGGUCUGGGUUGAAUCUUCUGCAGUUUCGCGAAGUCAAUACUUAAUAAAUUUACAGCCGUCGUAAUUAGGUAGUUGUGGUCACAUCACUGUCUUGGAUUGAUGAGUAGAGUUAUGGAUACCAUCUUCUUUUCUGGUUAUCUUCGUAUCCACAUAGGAGAUAAUGCGCAAAACGUACAAUUUGUGGAGCAUACUAAAUAACGAUGGCCGCCAUCGCAAGGAAGACAUGAGGUGGUGGCAAGAAAUGGAGAGGAACGUACUUCCCUAUUCCUGUUUCAUUCUCCCUCUCUCCGCUUGUCACCUAUAAGAGGAGGGGAGAGAGAGAGGAAGACAAUUGGAGGAAUUGUUCAAGGAAUUUUAUCUCCAUGAAGAUUCAAGGCUUAGAGUUAAACAUCGUGAUUUGAAAGUUAGCAAUAUCCUAUUAGAUGACAAUAUAAAUCCAAAAAUAUCAGACUUUGUAAUGGCAAAAAUGUUAGGAGUUGAUGAUCAAAUUUGCGGAAACACAAGAAGAGUUGUCGGCACUUAGUAUGUUUCAACUUAUAUACCCCGUACCAAACUACUAAUCUCAAUUUUAUUUUGGUUUAUUUGUUCUUUCUUUAUAAUUAUGUGAUAUGAUGCACUCUAUAUGCAAAAUGUAUUAACUUUUGAUAUGCAAGUAGCUAUAUGGCACCAGAAUAUGCUAUGGAGGGAUUGCAUUCCACAAAAUCUUAUGUCUUUAGCUUCCGCGUACUCUUGCUUGAGAUCCUAAUAGGGAGAAGAAAUUUUUUGGGGUUUCAUGACUGUGCACCUACUCUUGUAGCAUAUGCAAGUGUUCAAUUAGUUGGGUUGGGUUAUAAAAUUAAUUGCACAACAUAUGUAAGUGUUCAAAUAUAGACAUCGAUCCUUAAGGUAUUAACUCCGAGAUUAAUUGCAGGCUUGGCUGUUGUGGAACGAAGGGAAAGGGUUGGAGUUAAUGGAUCCAUUGUUGAAAGAAACAUGCAGUCCAAAUGAGUCGAUGGGUCCCUAAGACAAGAAAAGUAGGCCCAAUACAUACAGAACAACAAAAUAAGACCCAGAAGAGGACGACAACAACAACAACAAAAAAAACCAGCAACAAAAUCACGGAAUUAUGGCCUCUUUAUAUUGUUUUCUUUGUUUUCAGAAUCGAUCGAGAUACAUGAAUAAUUGUUCUUAAUCAUUUGAAUUAUAAGUCGUUUAUUAUUAUAUUGUUUGAUAAAUUAAGUCCAUCAAUGUGAUGCGUUCUUUUGGGACCUUCCGAUGAACUGGGUGGAGAAAUAAAUAAUCCCUUUGGGCACUUCCGUCUCCAUCGUCUUAAGUUUGAAAAUAUUUUUAUUUUAUAUAGUUUUUUUUUGUCAUUUCGUCUCCUUCCUUUUCUUCAACGAAUUUGAGUAAGAUGGUUUCAUGGCGGCAGACAGGUGAAGUGAUAUAUGCCCGUCAACACACGGAAACAUUAAAACCAGUUUCACUUUAGAGUCCUGCCGUGACUUUUCUUUUGUGAAUUUAUUCAUGAAACCCAUUUCGAUUUGGUAAAACUUUCUUCUUGUAAUAUUCUUGCGAAUAAUAAUAAUAAUAAUCAAUAUCAAUAUGAUAAUGAUAAGGGAUAUUUAGUUAAAUACCUAUUCUUAGUAUUAAAACUAUAAAUAAAUUCUAUACUAUUUAAUUUUUAUUUUUAUAAACAAACUCAAAAAAUGACAAUUGGCCUUAUUGAAUUUAAUUUUAAUUAUUAAAUUACUUUAGUGUCAUAUUGAGUGUUUUGGACUUUUUUUAUGAGAUUUUAGAGUUGGAUUCGUUUUAAAAAAUCAAUGGCAAUUUUGUAAUUUAAAAGUAGUUAAAAGCUUUUCUAUGAUAUUGCAAAUGGACUUUGAUGUAUUUUUAAAAUCAAUUUCAUAUGAGAUUUUUUUAAUAAUUUGACUCCUAUAUUAGGUAAAACAGUGAAUCUCCCUCAAAAAACCGCCACUGCCCUCUCUCUCUUUCCCACUCCCGCCUGCCAUUUUCCUCUGUUUCAAACUUUUGUUUUUUUUGUCUUUUAUUUCAUUGUCUCUUCUUCCUCUUCUUUUUCUAUGAAUCUGAUGAUAAAGACAACCACCACUGAGAUAAUAUAUCUUCCAAAGUUCAACUUGGCUUGAGAAAUAGAGACAGGGAGGGACUAGCUAGCUUAAUUAGCGAAGCAUAGGGGAUGUCCUGGGCUGGUUUCAUCAAGAUCAAAAUGCUUCCCAUGACUAAUCUCAUGCUCGUUUCCAUUCUCUCCUCCAUAUUUGUUGUUACUCUGCUUAGCUUUCCCAGCCCAGCUGAAGCUGAUUAUCUAUACCAUGUCUGCCCAAACACUACCACUUUCACCCCGAACUCCACCUUCCAGUCCAACCUCAACCGCCUCCUCUCCACCCUCUCCUCCAACGCCACCCGCCCCUCCGGCUUCUACAACGCCACCGCCUCCUCCCGAACCCCAAACGACGCCGUCUACGGCCUCUUCCUCUGCCGCGGCGACGUCGCUGCCACCGACGCUUGCAAAUCCUGCGUCUCCACCGCAACCUCCGACAUCGUCCAGCGCUGCCCCACCGAGAAACAGGUCGUGAUCUGGUACGACGACUGCAUGCUACGCUACUCCAACGAGUCCUUCUUUUCCACCAUGGCCGAGACACCUCGCCUGUUCAUGUGGAACACCCAGAACGCCACCGAACAGACCCGCUUCAACCAGGUCCUGUCCACCGGUAUGAACGAGGUGGCCACCGAGGCUGCCAACGACGCCGACAAGUUUGCGACGAGUCAGGGGAAUGUUAGUGGGUUGGUUUCGAUUUACAGCCUGGGGCAGUGCACGCAGGACCUGUCCUCAGCGGAUUGCAACCGGUGUCUCAAGGGUGCCAUAGCCCAAUUUCCGAAUUGUUGCAGUGGAAAGGAAGGGGCACGAGUGUUGUAUCCGAGCUGUACCGUUAGGUACGAAGUCUACCCUUUCUACCAACAGAACUCCACGUC